UUAUAUCUAAACAUCAUUGCAGCUUUCUAAUCUUCAUUUUUAUUUAUGUGUAUUUCAUCUGUGUUGCUAAUGAUAUCGUCAGUUUUUAUGAUUUUAUGGUGUUAAGUAAAGCAUCCUUUUGUUUCAGGCUAAAAUAGAGCUUUGACAAAUACUUUUUCUAGUUUAAAUGAAUAACAACUCUCAAGGUGUAUUAGCUAAAUUAUCUUUUUGUUUUGAUAGUCUUUAGUCAAUAACAGAUUUUUAAAUUGUUACGAGUCUACAACACUUAAAUUCAGCGAAAUUCAAUUAAAAAAAUCAUGUUAUAGAAGACAAAAAAAUAUCAAUAUUUGUUUUCAAUAACGUGGCUUUGAUAGCAAAUCUGAGAGGUGCAAAUGUUUAGCUUGAUUUAAGUACUACAUAAUAAAAUACAUUGUUGAAUAGUCAUUUUGAUGGUUGUAAAUUUAUUUAGCACACUCAUUUUUAUAUACUUUUAGAUUGUUUACCGUUAAACUCCUGUCCCUAUCUAACCUAGUGGGUUCAAAAAGAAGGGACCGCGCUGGAAACAUGAGUGGAUUAAAAGUAUCAGCCUUUUUUGAAUUAAUAGUCGAAGUGGUAACCAGCUAGAAGUCGUAACCUGCUCGUAUGAAAGGAUUUCUCGACGUGAAAUUGUUAAUUUUAUUCAACAACGCCAAGAAACAGAGCUCGCUCAAGAAACAGAAAAGAAAGAGA
Long non-coding RNA from Hydra vulgaris (swiftwater hydra), 708 nucleotides. RefSeq lists it as uncharacterized. NCBI's taxonomy places the organism in Eukaryota, Metazoa, Cnidaria, Hydrozoa, Anthoathecata, Hydridae. The record is from RefSeq and is a predicted model, not a curated record.